UACGUAGGGGGCAAGCGUUAUCCGGAUUUACUGGGCGUAAAGGGCGUUAAGGCGGUUGGCAAAGUUGGUGGUGAAAUUUCAGGGCUCAACCCUGAAACUGCCUCCAAUACUGGUCGACUAGAGUACGAGAGAGGAAGGUGGAAUUCCCGGUGUAGUAGUGAAAUGCGUUGAUAUCGAUAGGAACUCCGGUGGCGAAGGCGGCAUACUGGUCCACUUCUGACGCUGAGGCGCGAAAGCCAGGGGAGCAAACGGG
RNAcentral lists this ribosomal RNA (253 nucleotides) under uncultured bacterium. Its description in RNAcentral is "partial 16S ribosomal RNA". It matches the Rfam family "Bacterial small subunit ribosomal RNA", at positions 524 to 776 of the family's 1533-position model. The record is from RNAcentral.